Molecule: ribosomal RNA, 460 nt
Filed under: uncultured bacterium
Lineage: Bacteria
Description: partial 16S ribosomal RNA
Rfam family: Bacterial small subunit ribosomal RNA
Source: RNAcentral
CCUACGGGAGGCAGCAGUGAGGAAUAUUGGUCAAUGGACGAGAGUCUGAACCAGCCAAGUAGCGUGAAGGAUGACUGCCCUAUGGGUUGUAAACUUCUUUUAUAUGGGAAUAAAACGUUCCACGUGUGGGAUUUUGUAUGUACCAUAUGAAUAAGGAUCGGCUAACUCCGUGCCAGCAGCCGCGGUAAUACGGAGGAGCCGAGCGUUAUCCGGAUUUAUUGGGUUUAAAGGGAGCGUAGGUGGAUUGUUAAGUCAGUUGUGAAAGUUUGCGGCUCAACCGUAAAAUUGCAGUUGAAACUGGCAGUCUUGAGUACAGUAGAGGUGGGCGGAAUUCGUGGUGUAGCUGUGAAAAGCUUAGAUAUCACGAAGAACUCCGAUUGCGAAGGCAGUUCACUGGACUGCAACUGACACUGAGGCUCGAAAGUGUGGGUAUCAAACAGGAUUAGAUACCCCAGUAGUC